UACGUAGGGUGCAAGCGUUGUCCGGAAUUACUGGGCGUAAAGGGCUUGUAGGUGGCCAACUAAGUCAGACGUGAAAUCCCUCGGCUUAACCGGGGAACUGCGUCUGAUACUGGAUGGCUUGAGUGUGGGAGAGGGAUGCGGAAUUCCAGGUGUAGCGGUGAAAUGCGUAGAUAUCUGGAGGAACACCGGUGGCGAAGGCGGCAUCCUGGACCAUUACUGACACUGAAAAGCGAAAGCCAGGGGAGCAAACGGG
Molecule: ribosomal RNA, 253 nt
Filed under: uncultured bacterium
Lineage: Bacteria
Description: partial 16S ribosomal RNA
Rfam family: Bacterial small subunit ribosomal RNA
Source: RNAcentral